Molecule: long non-coding RNA, 794 nt
Organism: Gymnodraco acuticeps
Lineage: Eukaryota; Metazoa; Chordata; Actinopteri; Perciformes; Bathydraconidae
Exons: 2
Source: RefSeq, a predicted model, not a curated record
CAUCGCACGUUUGGCUCUCAAAUCCACACGCACUCAGAUUAUUGUCCGGCACAUCCCGGCUCCACCGACCGACACGACUGCAACUUAAUCUCAUCCUUGUGAAGUAUUAUUUUACGAUAAAUAACACUGGUUUUCCUGCAGCACACUAACUCCUGUACAGUAUAUCACAUGUGAAUGUUACACCCAGAGGCUCAUCUUUAAGCCCCAGCUUCUUCUCUUAGCACAGUACAUGUUACUGCAGUAGGAAAUGCAUUAUAACCACAUUUAUUUGCUUUUGUUAAAGCUUGUUUUGGAAUCUAAAAGAUUCCUGUCUUCUCAUGUGAGAAAAAAAUGUGACAUGCACUUAAGGGAUUAAAGUAGCCACUAUUAUCUGAAGGAAAGCUUAUAUACACACGGCAUCUAUUGCACGUCUGUCCGUCCUGGGAGAGGGAUCCCUCCUCUGUUGCUCUCCCUGAGGUUUCUCCCAUUUUUUCCUUUAAACUGUGGGUUUUCUCCGGAAGUUUUUCCUUGUACGAUGUGAGGGUCUAAGGAUAGAGGGUGUCGUUUUUCUCACACUGAUAUUCUGAACAAACAUUGCUGUUGUAUUUGCUGUAAAGUAUCUCUACUGUAGGCUAUUUUUAUUAUAUGUACAGCACUUUGGCUCGACCAAAAAUCGUUUAUAAAUGUGCUAUAUAAAUAAAACUUGAUUUGAUUUGAUAUAUUUGAUAUACUGAGCUGCAAAUAUUUCUGCUUUGUGAUUUAGUUGCAGCACAGCAGAUCCACCUGAGAUUGCCACUUUAGAAGAAUUACAGUAU